Molecule: long non-coding RNA, 3645 nt
Filed under: Oryza sativa (Asian cultivated rice)
Lineage: Eukaryota; Viridiplantae; Streptophyta; Magnoliopsida; Poales; Poaceae
Description: long non-coding RNA (OSAT_LNC001189)
Source: RNAcentral
CAAGGCAAGGGCGGGAUGAUCCGCGACUCGCCGGAGCACUUCGGCUUCCGCACCCAGUCCGACGGCGACGGCAUCAGCAUCUUCGGCUCCACCAACGUCUGGCUCGACCACCUCUCCCUCUCCAACUGCCAGGACGGCCUCAUCGACGUCAUCGCCAAGUCCACCGGAGUCACCAUCUCCAACUGCCACCUCACCAACCACAACGACGUCAUGCUCUUCGGCUCCAGCGACUCCUUCAGCGAGGACCAGAUCAUGCAGAUCACCGUCGCUUUCAACCACUUCGGCCGCGGCCUCGUCCAAAGAAUGCCCAGGUCACAUAAUAAUACUACCAGUAGAGAACACCAUACAUAAAAUAUUAAUAAUAAUAAUAUUAUAUUAUUAUAUAUAUAACAUCAUUCAUUAUUAUUUAUCAUGUAUUGUGCAGAUGCCGAUGGGGAUUUUUCCACGUGGUGAACAACGACUACACGCACUGGCUCAUGUAUGCCAUCGGAGGGAGCAAGAACCCGACGAUCAUCAGCCAGGGGAACAGGUACAUCGCGCCGCCAAACCUAGCGGCGAAGCGGAUCACGAAGCAGCUCGGGGCGACGGAGGAGGAGUGGAAGAACUGGGUGUGGCACUCUGAGGAGGACCUGUUCAUGGAGGGGGCCUACUUCACCACGUCCGGUGGCCCGAUCCAGAAGCAGUUCAGCAACAAGGAUCUGAUCAAGCCCAAGCCCGGAUCCUACGUCACGAGGCUCACCCGCUUCGCUGGCUCCAUCCCAUGCGUGGCCGGCAAGCCGUGCUAGAGCGCGGUGGCCGGCCCCCACCGGAUCCACGGCUAGCCGGAGAUGAUUCUUAUUUUGUAGUUGUGUGAGCUUAUUUUUUCUUCUACACAUACGUACUUACUCAAGAAAUCUUGAUCUGUGGCCGGCCGGGUUCUGGUCAAUGUGAUCCUAUAGGUUCUACAUAUAAAAAAGUUGUAUUAAUUAAAAGCAUUUUUGGAAGCGGUGGCGAUGCAAAUUUAGAGGGCGAUAGGGCGAGGAGCAUGCAUGUUUGUGCGUAUAGGUCUACUUGUUGAUGGUGAUCACGAAAGAGCCAAUGCAUUGUCAUGAUAGAGGACAUGCGCAUUUAUGCAGAAGGCCCUAGGGCAGGAAUUAUUUUUUUUUCAUUGAUUGUUUUAAAUGUAUUGUACUGAAACUACAUUGUUGUUUCAUUAACUGCACGCAUCUCCAAUGCAAAGUGCUAAUGUAAGGUGUUUAAUAUAUAGUGCUAAUGUAAAGUGCAAUGAAGCAUCUCACUACUAUAGAAGAUGACUUCAGUGUCGGGUCGUAACCCCUCAUCAGUGUUGGAAAUCAAACCGGCACGAGGUCAUGAGUGCCGGGUUAAGAACCGGCAUUGGUGAGGACUCAUCGGUGCCACUUGUUGGCUACAAAUAACGUGUGCAAUGAUUUGUAAAUACGUGAUAUUUUCAACACAAAUAUAUAAAAUAUAAGUACAUCCCAACAACCAUUCAUUCAAAUUUGAUUUGAAACCAGAAAGACUCUAGCUUAGAUACCAUACUAGCAAUCCACACCGCAAUUUCUAAGAAAUCAUGCUACACCGUGAAAUAAUUAAUAUUACACAAAAGAAUUGAAAAUAUGUGAGCAAUGGGAUUAAUCGACUAUCCGUGAUCCUGCCUUGCGAGGGGCGACACGCAAGAGCUGUGCGGAACAAUGCAACCAGAAAUGAAGGUUGUAAUAUUCCCUGAAAGUGCAUCUAGCCCUUUAAGUGGGUUUUGGUGGAUUAAUGACAAACCAGUUAAGUGACUAAUAAUCUUGUGAAGAAGUGUGUGCAGGUGUUAGUCCAAAAUGAAUGGAGACAUCCAAAUCUAAUUAAUGGAAUUUGGAGCGAGAACUUGAACAGUUAUUUUAAAUUUCUUUUGUGUUUUAUCUCUUGAGUUCUAGGACCUUCGUAUUAUCAAGAGGGUUCUCAACAGAUGCUCAAUGUCUACAAGUGCUCAUAGUCAUUCUCUGGAAGAGAGACACAUGUUUCGCACAUGCACACUGGGUUGUGCCACCUUUUUCUAUCUGCCAGGAGUUCUCAAAGAGAUGCCUGGAAACCUCCGGGCCUAAGUGUUGACCGGAAGUUCUCCGGGGGCUAGCCCAGAACUUCGGGCUCUGUUUAAGUUUGAAUUUGAGAGCAACGUCUAGUUGAUGUCGCACGAGUAACUAUAUAUUCCAGCCUCUCCCACCUUUGUUGCCUGGCAAUUCCACUUUAGUUUUCUUGUCCUUAGACUCUCAUAUGAUGUUAUUCUUGGAGGGCAACCUCCUAGAUGGAUAAAUUUCGCCCGCGAGCAUCCAUGUCAUUGUGGAUUGACCAGGGAAAAGUUUGUGAAGGUUUUCCUCGCCUCCGCAAGGAAAAGAGGUAGUUUGAGUGAAAAUUAUGAGCUGAGCCUUCGGAAGUUGUCUUGGUAGGGUAAUCCACAUUCGUGGUGUUCUCUAGGUAUCCAAGUUGGGAAUCUUUGUGGUCAUUUGAAAUCUAGAGAAGUACAUAUAUAGGAAUGGUGGAUUGAAAAUCGGAGACUUCUUCCUAGGGUUUUGGUUGGUGAGACAAGGGGUUAAUAGAGACCCAACUCUUUGGAGCUCCUCAAUGGAGAUUAGGAUUCUUGUAAUCCGAGCUUCGGGUGAAAAAUCCUGUGUCUAUCCUCUUGUGCAGUUUAUGUUUCUCCUUUGAUUUACUGCUUUGAAUUGUUCAUUAAUCAUUACUGUCUUUUGCGCCUUUGUAAGUCUUGGGGUUCCUUGAGAAUCAAGACGUGAGUCUCGAGGAGCGAGAACCCGAAAAUUUCUGGAAAGAAUCGUGGAAGUUCCAGGUAGCCCUCACUGUCUUCGGGUAAGAGAUGCUAGGAAGUUCCAAACCCUAUAUAUUAACCUCUUUAAUGGAAGAAAAUUGUUCAAUCAAUCAAUCAUGAGGAUAGCUCAGUUGGUUAGAACAUAUGAUAACGUUUGUGUGCAGAUCAGAGGAGUUGAGCGGGAGAAGGAAGCUGGCGAUGACGAAGAGGAAGAAGUUCGCGGGGCCAUGCAAGGCGACUUAUCCGAUCGACCGGUGCUAGAGGUGCCGCACCGACUGGGCGACGGACAGGAAGCGGCUGGCGCUGUGCGCACAAGGGUUCGGCUUAAACACCACCGGAGGGUUGGCCGGGAAGUUCUACCUAGUGACGGACGGCACCGACGAUGACGCGGUGAAUCCGCCCCGGGGACGCUCCGUUGGGGUGUGAUCCAGGACGAGCCACUGUGGAUCAUCUUUGCCAAGGAGAUGAUCAUCAACCUCAAGGAGGGGAUGAUGAUCAAUAGCGACAAGACAAUCGACAGGCGGGGAGCGCAUGUGCGGAUCACCAAUGGCGUGCAGGUGACGGUGCAGAACUCCAACAACGUGAUCAUCCACAACAUCCACAUCCACGACAUCGUGCUCGGCAAGUUGGGGAUGAUCCGCGACUCGCUGGAGCAGUUCGGCUUCCGCACCCAGUCCGACAGCGAUGACAUCAACAUCUUCGGCUCCACCAACGUCUAGCUCGACCACCUCUCCCUCUCCAACUGCAAGGACGGCCUCAUCGACGUCAUCGCCAAGUCCACCGGAGUCACCAUGCAUCUCCAACUACCACCUCACCAACCACAACGACAUCAGGCUCUU